This 778-nucleotide ribosomal RNA is filed under the name uncultured bacterium. RNAcentral describes it as "bacterial SSU rRNA". It matches the Rfam family "Bacterial small subunit ribosomal RNA", at positions 615 to 1393 of the family's 1533-position model. The record is from RNAcentral.
CAAUGUAUGCUUUGUAAACUGUUAGACUUGAGUGCAGAAGGGGAGAGUGGAAUUCCAUGUGUAGCGGUGAAAUGCGUAGAUAUAUGGAGGANCACCGGUGGCGAAAGCGGCUCUCUGGUCUGUCACUGACGUUGAGGCUCGAAAGCGUGGGUAGCGAACAGGAUUAGAUACCCUGGUAGUCCACGCCGUAAACGCUGAGUGCUAGGUGUUAGGUCCUUUCCGGGACUUAGUGCCGACGCUAACGCAUUAAGCACUCCGCCUGGGGAGUACGACCGCAAGGUUGAAACUCAAAGGAAUUGACGGGGGCCCGCACAAGCGGUGGAGCAUGUGGUUUAAUUCGAAGCAACGCGAAGAACCUUACCAGGUCUUGACAUCCCGAUGCCCGCUCUAGAGAUAGAGUUUUUCUUCGGAACAUCGGAGACAGGUGGUGCAUGGUUGUCGUCAGCUCGUGUCGUGAGAUGUUGGGUUAAGUCCCGCAACGAGCGCAACCCUUAUUGUUAGUUGCCAUCAUUAAGUUGGGCACUCUAGCGAGACUGCCGGUAAUAAACCGGAGGAAGGUGGGGAUGACGUCAAAUCAUCAUGCCCCUUAUGACCUGGGCUACACACGUGCUACAAUGGUUGGUACAACGAGUCGCAAGCCGGUGACGGCAAGCUAAUCUCUGAAAGCCAAUCUCAGUUCGGAUUGUAGGCUGCAACUCGCCUACAUGAAGUCGGAAUCGCUAGUAAUCGCGGAUCAGCACGCCGCGGUGAAUACGUUCCCGGGCCUUGUACACACCGC